GAGAGAAUGACUGAGUGGGUUAAAGUGAUAGACUGUAAAUCUAUUGUGACGUAUGUUACAUCACAGGUUCGAAUCCUGUUUCUCUCA
This 87-nucleotide transfer RNA is filed under the name Malawimonas californiana (nom. ined.). RNAcentral describes it as "Malawimonas californiana tRNA-Tyr". It matches the Rfam family "tRNA". From Rfam's summary of the family: Transfer RNA (tRNA) molecules are approximately 80 nucleotides in length. Their secondary structure includes four short double-helical elements and three loops (D, anti-codon, and T loops). Further hydrogen bonds mediate the characteristic L-shaped molecular structure. tRNAs have two regions of fundamental functional importance: the anti-codon, which is responsible for specific mRNA codon recognition, and the 3' end, to which the tRNAs corresponding amino acid is attached (by aminoacyl-tRNA synthetases). tRNAs cope with the degeneracy of the genetic code in two manners: having more than one tRNA (with a specific anti-codon) for a particular amino acid; and 'wobble' base-pairing, i.e. permitting non-standard base-pairing at the 3rd anti-codon position. Lineage: Eukaryota; Malawimonada; Malawimonadea; Malawimonadida; Malawimonadidae. The record is from RNAcentral.